Molecule: ribosomal RNA, 253 nt
Filed under: uncultured prokaryote
Description: partial 16S ribosomal RNA
Rfam family: Bacterial small subunit ribosomal RNA
Source: RNAcentral
UACGAAGGGGGCUAGCGUUGCUCGGAAUUACUGGGCGUAAAGGGCGCGUAGGCGGACAGCUUAGUCAGAGGUGAAAGCCCAGGGCUCAACCUUGGAAUUGCCUUUGAUACUGGCUGUCUUGAGUUUGGGAGAGGUGAGUGGAACUCCGAGUGUAGAGGUGAAAUUCGUAGAUAUUCGGAAGAACACCAGUGGCGAAGGCGACUCACUGGCCCAAUACUGACGCUGAGGCGCGAAAGCUAGGGGAGCAAACAGG